CUCCGAAUGUUGUUGUUGGUGGCGGCGGCGAGCGGAGCCGGAGGAGCUGCCGCAAAGAUGGAGGAGCCGUCGAGGAGGCGCUGCCGCUGCUGCCGCCGCCGCUGCUGCCGCCGCCGCCUGCGAAGCCGGAGCUCGAGCCGCAGGGGGGAUGCUGUUCUGAGUGCCUGACUGCCUCGCCCUGAAGGAUGGCCUCGGAUGGGCGUUAGAGGCACAGCGGCCCCGGGCUCCUGUCCCGUCCGUCUGUCUGUUAUCGUCUGUGUCUCUUGACAUCACUGCAGCUCCACCCCCUCCCAUCCCAGCCCCCAACGCCAGCUUCCUGUGGGCCCAGAGCCGGCAUGAACACUCCCACCGAGUCGGCAGAUGGGAUGCAAGGCCGGGAACCAUCCUUGGAAAUCCUGCCUCGGACCCCUCUACACGGCAUCCCUGUGGCAGUGGAGGUGAAGCCGGUGCUGCCAGGAGCCAUGCCCAGCUCCAUGGGGGGCGGGGGAGGAGGCAGCCCCAGCCCCGUGGAGCUUCGGGGUGCUCUGGCAGGCCCCGUGGACCCCGCGCUGCGGGAGCAGCAACUCCAGCAGGAGCUCCUGGCGCUCAAGCAGCAGCAGCAGCUGCAGAAGCAGCUCCUGUUCGCUGAGUUCCAGAAACAGCACGACCACCUGACCCGGCAGCAUGAGGUCCAGCUGCAGAAGCACCUCAAGCAGCAGCAGGAGAUGCUGGCAGCCAAGAGGCAGCAGGAGCUGGAGCAGCAGCGGCAGCGGGAGCAGCAACGGCAGGAGGAGCUGGAGAAGCAGCGGCUGGAGCAGCAGCUGCUCAUCCUGCGAAACAAGGAGAAGAGCAAAGAGAGUGCCAUCGCCAGCACUGAGGUGAAGCUGAGGCUCCAGGAAUUCCUCCUGUCGAAGUCAAAGGAGCCCACACCAGGCGGCCUCAACCAUUCCCUCCCGCAGCAUCCCAAAUGCUGGGGAGCCCACCAUGCUUCUUUGGACCAGAGUUCCCCUCCCCAGAGCGGCCCCCCCGGGACGCCUCCCUCCUACAAGCUGCCUUUGCUUGGGCCCUACGACAGCCGCGAUGACUUCCCCCUCCGCAAAACAGCCUCUGAACCCAACUUGAAAGUACGUUCGAGGCUAAAGCAGAAGGUGGCCGAGCGGAGAAGCAGUCCCCUCCUGCGUCGCAAGGAUGGCACUGUCAUUAGCACCUUUAAGAAGAGAGCUGUUGAGAUCACGGGUGCCGGGCCUGGGGUGUCAUCCGUGUGUAACAGUGCGCCAGGCUCCGGCCCCAGCUCUCCCAACAGCUCGCACAGCACCAUCGCCGAGAAUGGCUUUACGGGCUCAGUCCCCAACAUCCCCACCGAGAUGCUCCCCCAGCACCGGGCCCUCCCUCUGGACAGCUCCCCCAACCAGUUCAGCCUCUACACGUCUCCCUCUCUGCCCAACAUCUCCCUAGGGCUGCAGGCCACGGUCACUGUCACCAACUCGCACCUCACCGCCUCCCCGAAGCUGUCAACGCAGCAGGAGGCCGAGAGGCAGGCCCUCCAGUCCCUGCGGCAGGGUGGCGCACUGACGGGCAAGUUCAUGAGCACAUCCUCCAUCCCUGGCUGCCUGCUGGGCGUGGCACUGGAGGGCGACACGAGCCCCCACGGGCAUGCCUCCCUGCUGCAGCACGUGCUGCUGCUGGAGCAGGCCCGGCAGCAGAGCACCCUCAUCGCGGUGCCACUCCACGGGCAGUCCCCGCUGGUGACGGGUGAACGCGUGGCCACCAGCAUGCGGACGGUGGGCAAGCUCCCAAGGCACCGGCCCCUGAGCCGCACUCAGUCCUCGCCGCUGCCCCAGAGCCCCCAGGCCCUGCAGCAGCUGGUCAUGCAGCAGCAGCACCAGCAGUUCCUGGAGAAGCAGAAGCAGCAACAGCUGCAGCUGGGCAAGAUCCUCACCAAGACUGGGGAGCUGCCCCGGCAGCCCACCACCCACCCGGAGGAGACAGAGGAGGAGCUGACGGAGCAGCAGGAGGCCUUGCUGGGGGAGGGAGCCCUGACCAUCCCCCGAGAAGGCUCCACGGAGAGCGAGAGCACGCAGGAAGACCUGGAGGAGGAGGAAGAGGAGGAGGAGGAAGAGGAGGAGGAGGAGGAGGAUUGUAUCCAGGUCAAGGAUGAGGCGGGCGAGAGUGGUGCUGAGGAGGGCCCCGACUUGGAGGAGUCCAGUGCUGGUUACAAAAAGGUGUUUGCAGAUGCCCAGCAGCUGCAGCCGCUGCAGGUGUACCAGGCACCCCUCAGCCUGGCCACUGUGCCCCACCAGGCCCUGGGCCGCACCCAGUCCUCACCUGCUGCCCCAGGGGGCAUGAAGAGCCCCCCAGACCAGCCCACCAAGCACCUCUUCACCACAGGUGUGGUCUACGACACGUUCAUGCUGAAGCACCAGUGCAUGUGCGGGAACACACACGUGCACCCGGAGCACGCUGGCCGGAUUCAGAGCAUCUGGUCCCGGCUGCAGGAAACAGGCCUGCUCAGCAAGUGUGAGCGGAUUCGGGGUCGCAAAGCCACGCUGGACGAGAUCCAGACGGUGCACUCCGAGUACCACACCCUGCUCUAUGGGACCAGCCCCCUCAACCGCCAGAAGCUGGACAGCAAGAAGCUGCUGGGCCCCAUCAGCCAGAAGAUGUAUGCUGUGCUGCCCUGCGGGGGCAUCGGGGUGGACAGCGACACAGUGUGGAAUGAGAUGCACUCCUCCAGUGCUGUGCGCAUGGCGGUGGGCUGCCUGGUGGAGCUGGCAUUCAAGGUGGCUGCGGGGGAGCUCAAGAAUGGAUUUGCCAUCAUCCGGCCCCCAGGCCACCACGCGGAGGAAUCCACAGCCAUGGGAUUCUGCUUCUUCAACUCUGUAGCCAUCACAACCAAACUUCUGCAGCAGAAGCUGAACGUGGGCAAGGUUCUCAUCGUGGACUGGGACAUACACCACGGCAAUGGCACCCAGCAAGCAUUCUACAACGACCCCUCCGUGCUCUAUAUCUCUCUGCAUCGCUAUGACAAUGGGAACUUCUUUCCAGGCUCUGGGGCUCCUGAAGAGGUUGGCGGAGGGCCGGGUGUGGGGUACAAUGUGAACGUGGCAUGGACGGGAGGUGUGGACCCCCCCAUCGGAGACGUGGAGUACCUAACGGCCUUCAGGACAGUGGUGAUGCCCAUCGCCCACGAGUUCUCACCUGACGUGGUCCUGGUUUCCGCCGGGUUUGAUGCUGUUGAGGGACACUUGUCUCCGUUGGGUGGCUACUCUGUCACCGCCAGAUGGCCGCACCUGUGGCUUAUCGGGUAUAUGAAGGUUUUCAGGCCAGGGGUCUCAUCGGAGCUACAGCUGCCGGCCUACACCACAGCCACAGCAACGCACUGUCUGAGCCUCGUCUGCGACCUACACCACAGCUCACAGCAACACCGGAUCCUUAACCCGCUGAGAGAGGCCGGGGAUCAAGCCCUCAUCCUCAUGGAUGCUAGUUGGGUUCGUUAACCUCUGAGCCACGAUGGGAACGCCUAACCGUUUUUCUGUAAUCUUUCUCCCUUUGUCCAUCCCUAAAGGUUUUGGCCACUUGACCAGGCAGCUGAUGACGCUGGCAGGGGGCCGGGUGGUGCUGGCCCUGGAGGGAGGCCAUGACUUGACCGCCAUCUGUGAUGCCUCUGAGGCCUGUGUCUCAGCUCUGCUCAGCGUGGAGCUGCAGCCCUUGGACGAGGCAGUCCUGCAACAAAAGCCCAACAUCAAUGCAGUGGCCACGCUAGAGAAAGUCAUCGGGAUCCAGAGCAAACACUGGAGCUGUGUGCAGAGGUUCGCUGCUGGUCUAGGCCGUUCCCUGCGGGAGGCCCAGGCAGGCGAGACAGAGGAGGCCGAGACUGUGAGCGCCAUGGCCUUGCUGUCGGUGGGGGCCGAGCAGGCGCAGGCUGCUGCAGCCCGGGAGCACAGCCCCAGGCCGGCAGAGGAGCCCAUGGAGCAGGAGCCUGCCCUGUGAUGCCCUGGCCCCCGUCCCUCUGGGCUUCAUCAUUGUGAUUUUGUUUAUUUUUUCUAUUAAAAAGAAAAAGUCACACAUCCA
RNA transcript from Sus scrofa (pig), 4050 nucleotides. It is a transcript of the gene named histone deacetylase 5, with no coding region annotated. NCBI's taxonomy places the organism in Eukaryota, Metazoa, Chordata, Mammalia, Artiodactyla, Suidae. The record is from RefSeq and is a predicted model, not a curated record.